RNAcentral lists this non-coding RNA (72 nucleotides) under pig gut metagenome. Its description in RNAcentral is "S10-Clostridia ribosomal protein leader". It matches the Rfam family "S10-Clostridia ribosomal protein leader". The record is from RNAcentral.
GCGUUGAAGCGAAAGGUUGCUGCACUUGUGCAGGUUUUUUCGUGGAGUAUGUCCGAUUUCAAACCGGGCGAC